RNAcentral lists this ribosomal RNA (453 nucleotides) under Speonemadus angusticollis. RNAcentral describes it as "partial 16S ribosomal RNA". Lineage: Eukaryota; Metazoa; Arthropoda; Insecta; Coleoptera; Leiodidae. The record is from RNAcentral.
GUCUUAUUGAUUAUAAUUUUAAGUCUAAUCUGCCCAGUGAUUAUAAAUUAAAUGGCUGCAGUAUUUUAACUGUACAAAGGUAGCAUAAUAAUUAGUCUCUUAAUUAGGGACUAGAAUGAAGGAUUGAACGAGAUAAUAACUGUCUCUUAUUAAAUUAUAAAAUUUUAUUUUUAAGUUAAAAAGCUUAAAUAAAAUUAAAAGACGAGAAGACCCUAUAGAGUUUUAUAUUUAUUAUUAAUAUAAAUUUUAGUAUUAAAAUUUUAUUUUUUUUAUAAAAUAUUUAAUUGGGGUGAUUAAAAAAUUGAAGAAACUUUUUAAAAAAUUUUCAUUAAUUUAUGAAUAAAUGAUCCAAUAAUUUUGAUUAUAAGAUUAAAUUACCUUAGGGAUAACAGCGUAAUUUUUUUUGAGAGUUCUUAUCGAAAAAAAAGAUUGCGACCUCGAUGUUGGAUUAAA